RNAcentral lists this ribosomal RNA (447 nucleotides) under uncultured bacterium. RNAcentral's name for it is "bacterial SSU rRNA". It matches the Rfam family "Bacterial small subunit ribosomal RNA", at positions 329 to 793 of the family's 1533-position model. The record is from RNAcentral.
GUCCAGACUCCUACGGGAGGCAGCAGUGGGGAAUAUUGCACAAUGGGGGGAACCCUGAUGCAGCGACGCCGCGUGAGUGAAGAAGUCAUUCGUGAUGUAAAGCUCUAUCAGCAGGGAAGAAAAUGACGGUACCUGACUAAGAAGCCCCGGCUAACUACGUGCCAGCAGCCGCGGUAAUACGUAGGGGGCAAGCGUUAUCCGGAUUUACUGGGUGUAAAGGGAGCGUAGACGGCAGCGCAAGUCCGAAGUGAAAGCGCGGGGCCCAACCCCGGGACUGCUUUGGAAACUGUGAAGCUGGAGUGCGGGAGGGGCAGGCGGAAUUCCUGGUGUAGCGGUGAAAUGCGUAGAUAUCAGGAGGAACACCGGGGGGGAAGGCGGCCUGCUGGACCGUAACUGACGUUGAGGCUCGAAAGCGUGGGGAGCAAACAGGAUUAGAUACCCCUGUAA